UACCAGCUGGCUGCAACUGUUUAUUAAAAACACAGCACUGUGCAAACACGAAAGUGGACGUAUACGGUGUGACGCCUGCCCGGUGCCGGAAGGUUAAUUGAUGGGGUCAGCGCAAGCGAAGCUCCUGAUCGAAGCCCCGGUAAACGGCGGCCGUAACUAUAACGGUCCUAAGGUAGCGAAAUUCCUUGUCGGGUAAGUUCCGACCUGCACGAAUGGCGUAAUGAUGGCCAGGCUGUCUCCACCCGAGACUCAGUGAAAUUGAACUCGCUGUGAAGAUGCAGUGUACCCGCGGCAAGACGGAAAGACCCCGUGAACCUUUACUAUAGCUUGACACUGAACAUUGAGCCUUGAUGUGUAGGAUAGGUGGGAGGCUUUGAAGCGUGGACGCCAGUCUGCGUGGAGCCGACCUUGAAAUACCACCCUUUAAUGUUUGAUGUUCUAACGUGGACCCGUAAUCCGGGUUGCGGACAGUGUCUGGUGGGUAGUUUGACUGGGGCGGUCUCCUCCUAAAGAGUAACGGAGGAGCACGAAGGUUGGCUAAUCCUGGUCGGACAUCAGGAGGUUAGUGCAAUGGCAUAAGCCAGCUUGACUGCGAGCGUGACGGCGCGAGCAGGUGCGAAAGCAGGUCAUAGUGAUCCGGUGGUUCUGAAUGGAAGGGCCAUCGCUCAACGGAUAAAAGGUACUCCGGGGAUAACAGGCUGAUACCGCCCAAGAGUUCAUAUCGACGGCGGUGUUUGGCACCUCGAUGUCGGCUCAUCACAUCCUGGGGCUGAAGUAGGUCCCAAGGGUAUGGCUGUUCGCCAUUUAAAGUGGUACGCGAGCUGGGUUUAGAACGUCGUGAGACAGUUCGGUCCCUAUCUGCCGUGGGCGCUGGAAGACUGAGGGGGGCUGCUCCUAGUACGAGAGGACCGGAGUGGACGCAUCACUGGUGUUCGGGUUGUCAUGCCAAUGGCACUGCCCGGUAGCUAAAUGCGGAAAAGAUAAGUGCUGAAAGCAUCUAAGCACGAAACUUGCCCCGAGAUGAGUCUUCCCUGAGACUUUGAGUCUCCUGAAGGAACGUUAAAGACGAUGACGUUGAUAGGCCGGGUGUGUAAGCGCAGCGAUGCGUUGAGCUAACCGGUACUAAUGAACCGUGAGGCUUAACCUUACAAC
RNAcentral lists this ribosomal RNA (1152 nucleotides) under Salmonella enterica. RNAcentral describes it as "partial 23S ribosomal RNA". It matches the Rfam family "Bacterial large subunit ribosomal RNA", at positions 1783 to 2925 of the family's 2925-position model. Lineage: Bacteria; Pseudomonadati; Pseudomonadota; Gammaproteobacteria; Enterobacterales; Enterobacteriaceae. The record is from RNAcentral.